This is a long non-coding RNA of Rosa rugosa (rugosa rose), 872 nucleotides long. RefSeq lists it as uncharacterized. Lineage: Eukaryota; Viridiplantae; Streptophyta; Magnoliopsida; Rosales; Rosaceae. The record is from RefSeq and is a predicted model, not a curated record. The transcript has 3 exons.
CCCAACAACUAAAGCUAUACCGUCUUAAAUUAAUUGUGCUUAUUGGAUGUGUUUAGGCUAUGUUUGGGGGGGCUUUUUAGCUCCCCUGCUUAUAAGCACAAGAUGACUAUGCGUUUGGUAACCCGACUUAUGCUCAGCUUAUUGCAAAAGCCGCUGCAGCUUCUCUCAAAAAGCAGAAGCUGUCUGACCCCUGCUUUCAGAAGCCAGAAGCCAGGAUUAUACUGUAGCGGUAGUUACUGUAGAUUAAUGAAUCUUUCAAAAUACCGGUCUCUAUCCUCCCUUGUUGAGGCAAUUACGGAUUGCCAUGAAACCCUUCUUCGACUGCGAGAUGCGAUAUGCAUCUCUCUCAAUCCAAAACCCAAUGAAGUCAACAUCUCUCAAUCGACCAUCGUAGUGACCGCGACUUCGCCGUCGACCACCGCGUGCUUCUCUCUCUCCCCACCGCCUGACUUUCCAAUCCGUUCUCCGGCUCAAAAGUCCACCCUUUCAUUCAAGAAAUUUACUCCAAUGGCAAGGCUGCAGCCACUCGUGCCUUGGCAAGAGGGACCAAUUUGAAUUCAAUCCUGGCAAUGUUGAAGGAGACCUUAUUGGAAGAAAGAUCGGGGUGCUGACAUUUUGUCCGCAGUGAAGAAAGAGAAGGUUAUGGGUCAAGUGGUGGGAUAGAAAUGGAUGAUGAUGUAGAAGAAGAAUGUCAUGGUCAUGGUGCACAAGAAAUGAAAACAAUAAGAAAUAGCAUUACUCAAAGUUUGAUGAAUGCGCGUAAUAACGUGAACAUUUGAAUAUGUUAUGAUAUUUUUUGUGGUUACUUGAUGCAAACCAGAAACCAAUUGUUAUUAAUGUUACUAAUAUAUUUGUAUAAGUUAUUUUUAAAA